CCUACGGGAGGCAGCAGUAGGGAAUCUUCCACAAUGGACGAAAGUCUGAUGGAGCAACGCCGCGUGAGUGAAGAAGGUUUUCGGAUCGUAAAACUCUGUUGUAAGGGAAGAACAAGUACAGUAGUAACUGGCUGUACCUUGACGGUACCUUAUUAGAAAGCCACGGCUAACUACGUGCCAGCAGCCGCGGUAAUACGUAGGUGGCAAGCGUUGUCCGGAUUUAUUGGGCGUAAAGCGCGCGCAGGCGGUCCUUUAAGUCUGAUGUGAAAGCCCACGGCUCAACCGUGGAGGGUCAUUGGAAACUGGAGGACUUGAGUGCAGAAGAGGAAAGUGGAAUUCCAAGUGUAGCGGUGAAAUGCGUAGAGAUUUGGAGGAACACCAGUGGCGAAGGCGACUUUCUGGUCUGUAACUGACGCUGAGGCGCGAAAGCGUGGGGAGCAACAGGAUUAGAUACCCUGGUAGUCCACGCGGUAAACGAUGAGUGCUAAGUGUUAGGGGGUUUCCGCCCUUUAGUGCUGCAGCUAACGCAUUAAGCACUCCGCCUGGGGAGUACGGUCGCAAGACUGAAACUCAAAGGAAUUGACGGGGGCCCGCACAAGCGGUGGAGCAUGUGGUUUAAUUCGAAGCAACGCGAAGAACCUUAC
Molecule: ribosomal RNA, 644 nt
Filed under: bacterium SC1-46
Lineage: Bacteria
Description: bacterial SSU rRNA
Rfam family: Bacterial small subunit ribosomal RNA
Source: RNAcentral